Molecule: ribosomal RNA, 274 nt
Filed under: uncultured bacterium
Lineage: Bacteria
Description: partial 16S ribosomal RNA
Rfam family: Bacterial small subunit ribosomal RNA
Source: RNAcentral
AUACGGGGGGUGCAAGCGUUAAUCGGAAUUACUGGGCGUAAAGCGCGCGUAGGCGGUUUGCUCAGUCGGAUGUGAAAGCCCAGGGCUCAACCUUGGAACUGCAUACGAUACUGGCAAACUAGAGUGUGAGAGAGGAUAGUGGAAUUUCCGGUGUAGCGGUGGAAUGCGUAGAUAUCGGAAGGAACAUCAGUGGCGAAGGCGACUGUCUGGCUCAACACUGACGCUGAGGUGCGAAAGCGUGGGUAGCAAACAGGAUUAGAUACCCCUGUAGUCC